UAUGAAAUGGAGAGCGCUUUGGCAUG
This 26-nucleotide non-coding RNA is filed under the name Mus musculus (house mouse). The record is from RNAcentral. Lineage: Eukaryota; Metazoa; Chordata; Mammalia; Rodentia; Muridae.